This 417-nucleotide ribosomal RNA is filed under the name Triticum aestivum (bread wheat). RNAcentral describes it as "partial small subunit ribosomal RNA". Lineage: Eukaryota; Viridiplantae; Streptophyta; Magnoliopsida; Poales; Poaceae. The record is from RNAcentral.
AUGAGUUGCAUUAGCUGGCACUGCCGGAGGCUUGGGAACCCCGAGGCAGUUCGCGAGCUUCGCAGUAUAGUGAAGCUGGAAGGACCCACUCUUCUCUUCGUCAUGGAAACAAAAAUUAAAGGGAAGAGAGUGUGAGACUUACAGAAUCAUCUUGGCUUCGGCGGAUGUUUUGCUGUAGAUAGUGUUGGUCUAAGUGGGGGCAUAGGUCUCUUUUGGACUAGAGAUGUGAUGGUAGAACUGAAGAACUUUAGUUCUGCUCAUAUAGAUGUGAUGGUGAAAUACAAGGACCAAGACUCCUUUGAGUGGAGGUUUACUGGUUUUUACGGAGCACCUCGAGCUGAGGAUCGUCACCAUAGCUGGAGGUUUUUGCGUACUUUAUUUGCUCUUGCCACAUUCAGCAUGGAUAUGUAUCGGUGA